Non-coding RNA from Felis catus (domestic cat), 92 nucleotides. NCBI's taxonomy places the organism in Eukaryota, Metazoa, Chordata, Mammalia, Carnivora, Felidae. The record is from Rfam.
ACCUGGGUGGCUCAGUCGGUUGAGCUUCUGACUCUUGGUUUCGACUCAGGUCAUGAGCUCACGGUUUGUGGGUUCAAGCCCCGCUUCGGGCU